AGCGAACGCUGGCGGCAGGCCUAACACAUGCAAGUCGAACGAAGUCUUCGGACUUAGUGGCGGACGGGUGAGUAACACGUGGGAACGUGCCUUUAGGUUCGGAAUAACUCAGGGAAACUUGUGCUAAUACCGAAUGUGCCCUUCGGGGGAAAGAUUUAUCGCCUUUAGAGAGUCCCGCGUCUGAUUAGCUAGUUGGUGAGGUAAAGGCUCACCAAGGCGACGAUCAGUAGCUGGUCUGAGAGGAUGAGCAGCCACAUUGGGACUGAGACACGGCCCAAACUUCUACGGGAGGCAGCAGUGGGGAAUCUUGCGCAAUGGGCGAAAGCCUGACGCAGCCAUGCCGCGUGAAUGAUGAAGGUCUUAGGAUUGUAAAAUUCUUUCACCGGGGACGAUAAUGACGGUACCCGGAGAAGAAGCCCCGGCUAACUUCGUGCCAGCCGCCGCCGUAA
This 449-nucleotide ribosomal RNA is filed under the name uncultured bacterium. RNAcentral's name for it is "partial 16S ribosomal RNA". It matches the Rfam family "Bacterial small subunit ribosomal RNA", at positions 29 to 523 of the family's 1533-position model. The record is from RNAcentral.